Molecule: unclassified non-coding RNA, 253 nt
Filed under: uncultured Bacillaceae bacterium
Lineage: Bacteria; Bacillati; Bacillota; Bacilli; Caryophanales; Bacillaceae
Description: contains 16S-23S intergenic spacer region
Rfam family: Bacterial small subunit ribosomal RNA
Source: RNAcentral
UACGUAGGUGGCAAGCGGUGACCGGAAUUAUUGGGCGUAAAGCGCGCGCAGGCGGUUUCUUAAGUCUGAUGUGAAAGCCCACGGCUCAACCGUGGAGGGUCAUUGGAAACUGGGAAACUUGAGUGCAGAAGAGGAGAGUGGAAUUUCCGGUGUAGCGGUGAAAUGCGUAGAGAUCGGAAGGAACACCAGUGGCGAAGGCGACUCUUUGGCCUAUAGCUGACGCUGAGGCGCGAAAGCGUGGGGAGCAAACAGG